Molecule: long non-coding RNA, 505 nt
Filed under: Numida meleagris (helmeted guineafowl)
Lineage: Eukaryota; Metazoa; Chordata; Aves; Galliformes; Numididae
Description: lncRNA (ENSNMEG00000020461.1)
Source: RNAcentral
AGGUUCUCUUCCAGCUGCCUGUACCAGAGACUUCUGGUGUACACAGAGACACGCAGCCUGGCUGAUUGGGGCAACAGGAGGAGCACCCAGAGAGCUGGUCUAGCUGACCUUUAGUGGCAUACUCUGGCCCCGUAAUGCAGGAAAAACAGUCCAACAAAUAAAGGACAGCAUAUUCCACGUCAUUGUGUCUUGCCUCUUAUCCGUAGAAGCGGCAUCUUAUAUACAGGUCAUCAAAAGCAGAAAAUGGAGAAGAAAAGGAUCUACUAAAGUAAAUCAAUCUUCCAGAAGAGCACGUCACAUUAGCUGUGCAAGAAAAAUGGAUAUGCUGGAGUCCAAGAGUAGUCGGAAUUACCAGGCAGUUGCAUGUGAACUCUGCAGCAUAACUAAGAAGCUGCUUUUCAUUAGACUUAGUUUCAGAGCAGAAUAAAAUAAUGCAGUUUAUACUGCUCCUACCUUUGCUAUUUGAGUUGUUCAGAUCAGAAAAUUUUAUUUAGUAAAAGGUGUG